This 65-nucleotide transfer RNA is filed under the name Solen strictus (Gould's razor shell). RNAcentral describes it as "tRNA-Lys". Lineage: Eukaryota; Metazoa; Mollusca; Bivalvia; Adapedonta; Solenidae. The record is from RNAcentral.
UUUGUGGUAGCUAAAUUUUAAGCAAUAGGCUUUUAACCUUUUGAUGCACUGCUGUGCUCACAGAA